This 73-nucleotide transfer RNA is filed under the name Ailuropoda melanoleuca (giant panda). It matches the Rfam family "tRNA". Rfam says of the family: Transfer RNA (tRNA) molecules are approximately 80 nucleotides in length. Their secondary structure includes four short double-helical elements and three loops (D, anti-codon, and T loops). Further hydrogen bonds mediate the characteristic L-shaped molecular structure. tRNAs have two regions of fundamental functional importance: the anti-codon, which is responsible for specific mRNA codon recognition, and the 3' end, to which the tRNAs corresponding amino acid is attached (by aminoacyl-tRNA synthetases). tRNAs cope with the degeneracy of the genetic code in two manners: having more than one tRNA (with a specific anti-codon) for a particular amino acid; and 'wobble' base-pairing, i.e. permitting non-standard base-pairing at the 3rd anti-codon position. Lineage: Eukaryota; Metazoa; Chordata; Mammalia; Carnivora; Ursidae. The record is from Rfam by way of RNAcentral.
ACCUGGCUGGCUCUGUCAGGAGAGCACAAGACUCUUGAUUUCGGGGUUGUGGGUUUGAGCCCCACGCUGGGUG